This 108-nucleotide ribosomal RNA is filed under the name uncultured Peziza. Its description in RNAcentral is "5.8S ribosomal RNA". It matches the Rfam family "5.8S ribosomal RNA", at positions 1 to 108 of the family's 154-position model. Rfam says of the family: 5.8S ribosomal RNA (5.8S rRNA) is a component of the large subunit of the eukaryotic ribosome. The record is from RNAcentral. Lineage: Eukaryota; Fungi; Ascomycota; Pezizomycetes; Pezizales; Pezizaceae.
AACUUUCAACAACGGAUCUCUAGGCUCUUGCAUCGAUGAAGAACGCAGUGAAAUGUGAUAAGUAAUGUGAAUUGCAGAAUCUCGUGAAUCAUCAAAUCUUUGAACGCA